RNAcentral lists this unclassified non-coding RNA (322 nucleotides) under plant metagenome. RNAcentral's name for it is "partial contains 5.8S ribosomal RNA, internal transcribed spacer 2, and large subunit ribosomal RNA". The stretch from base 1 to 105 matches the Rfam family "5.8S ribosomal RNA", at positions 50 to 154 of the family's 154-position model. The record is from RNAcentral.
GAACUGCGAUAAGUAAUGUGAAUUGCAGAAUUCAGUGAAUCAUCGAGUCUUUGAACGCACAUUGCGCCCCCUGGUAUUCCGGGGGGCAUGCCUGUCCGAGCGUCAUUGCUGCCCUUCAAGCCCGGCUUGUGUGUUGGGUCGUCGUCCCCCCGUGGGACGGGCCCGAAAUGCAGUGGCGGCUUCGCGGUUAUCCGAUCAGCCAGAGCGUAUGGGGACUCUCUCUCUUGUCACACGCCCGCGGCGCGGACCGACGCCUGUCGACCUUUAUUCAUCUUCUCUCGGUUGACCUCGGAUCAGGUAGGGAUACCCGCUGAACUUAAGC